Molecule: ribosomal RNA, 2908 nt
Filed under: alkali sediment metagenome
Description: bacterial LSU rRNA
Rfam family: Archaeal large subunit ribosomal RNA
Source: RNAcentral
ACGCCAUUUGGUGGAUUGCUCGGCUCGAGAGCUGAUGAAGGUCGUGCCAAGCCGCGAUAUUACUCCGUGUAGGCGCAAGGAGCCUUUGAUACGGAGAUUACCGAAUUGGACAUCCUAUCGCUUCGGCGAUAUUCGCGUCAGCGAAGAGGAACCUGCCGAAUUGAAACAUCUUAGUAGGCAGAGGAAAAGAAAUCAAUCGAGAUUGGGUUAUUAAAGGCGAUCGAACACCCAACAGGGCAAACCGAAUCCCCUAGCGACGAACUAGGGGAGAUGUGGAGUUUGGACUCAUUUACUCCCAAACUGGCAAACUCGAAGUCCUCUGGAAAGAGGUACCAUAGAGGGUGAUAGUCCUGUAGAGGUAAACCAGUGGGAGAUUUUUGGGUAUCCAGAGUAACGUGCGUUGGAUAUCGCGCGUGAAUACGGGAGGCAUAAACUUCCAACCCUAAAUACUACUCGAGACCGAUAGUGCAAUAGUAGCGUGAGUGAACGUUGCAAAGUACCCCUUGCGGGAGGUGCAAAGAGCAUGAAAUCAAAUGGUUACAGACUGAUAAGGCAUGAAAGCGACGAAGCUAUCUUAGAUAGUGGAGCAAUGUCUUGUCGUUCGUUUUGAAUAAUGACCCAGGGAGUUCCUGGUAAUGGCGAGGUUAAGGGCUUAAGGCCUGAAGCCGCAGCGAAAGCAAAUGUCCGCAGGCAACAAGGGACAAGGUGUGCUCGCCUGUAGUCAUUACCACGAGACCCGAAGCCAGCCGAUCUAUGCGUGGCCAGGUUGAAGCCCCAUGAAAGUGGGGUGGAGGACCGAACCGGUGCUGAUGUGCAAAUCGUUCGGAUGAGCUGCGUAUAGGGGCAAAAGACCAAUCUAGACUGGCAAUAGCUGGUUCCCCCCGAGACUACCCGCAGGUAGAUCUCUGAUGAGAUGGAAUACACGGUAGAGCACUAAUUGGGAGCUUAGGGGAAGAAAUUCCUCGGCACCUUGCUAAACUCCGAAUGUGUAUUCAUCGUAGAAUCAGGGUAGUGAGGGCAUCUGGGGUAAACUUGAUGUCCGAAAGGGAAACAACCCAGCCUUGCGUUAAGGUCCCUAAGUGUUAGCUAAGUGUCAAAGAACAAAAAGCGUUUACGGUCUCAGACAACCAGGAGGUUGGCUUAGAAGCAGCCAUCCUUUAAAGAUAGCGUAACAGCUCACUGGUCGAGAUUGUAUGCCUUGAAAAUGGACGGGGCUAAGUUAACCACCGAUACGUAAGCACUCCAAAAUGGAGAUGAGUAGGGGGGCGUCGUGCGUGGGUAGAAGUUUGGUCGUAAGAUCAAGUGGACCGCGUUCGAACGAGAAUCCUGGGAAAAGUAGCAGCAUAGUAGAGUGAGAAUCUCUACCACCGAAAGGGCUAGGUUUCCUCGACGAUGUCCAUCAGUCGAGGGUUAGUCGGUCCUAAGGCAACCCUUAAUUGAAGUUGCCGAAUGGGAAACAGGUUAAUAUUCCUGUACUUUACAAACAUUUGCUCAUAUUUUGACGCAUUCGGGUAGAUUUUACAGACUAGUCUGUCUGUCUAAGCGUAUUAAGCUAAGGGAGUACCGUCAUGGUGAGAACUUGGUCAAAGCGUGAUGGGUCUGUCGUUUUAGACGGAUUUUAUCGAGCUCGAGUGCCCGUGAAAAUUAGUAUGAGAUGUCGUUUGUAGAUCCGUACCGAGAACUGACACAGGUGCCCCUGGCUGAGUAAGCCAAGGUGUGUCGGCUAAAUCCAGGCGAGGGAACUCGGCAAAUUAGCCCCGUACCUUCGGUAUAAGGGGUGCCUGCUUUGUGAAAAGCAGGUCUCAGUGACUAGGGCGCUCCGACUGUUUAAUAAAAACGUAGGAGACCGCAAGUCCGAAAGGAUGUGUAUGGUCGCCGAAUCCUGCCCAGUGGCGGUAUCUGAAAACCUAUUUCAAUGGGGCGAAGGACCGCUAAACGGCGGGGGUAACCAUGACCCUCUUAAGGUAGCGUAAUACCUUGCCGCUUAAUUGGCGGCUUGCAUGAGUGGCUUAACGAGAGCGCCACUGUCCCCGCUUGGAAACCGGUGAAAUUGACUUACUGGCGCAUAGUCCAGUACCUUCCAGAAGGGAGCGAAGACCCCGUGGAGCUUUACUACAGCCUGUCGCUGUGAUACGGUUUGGAUUGUGAAGCGUAGGUGGGAGCCGUCGAAGCCAGGACGCUAGUUCUGGUGGAGGCGCCAAUGGGACACCACCCUAUCUUUGCCGUACCACUAACUUGCAAAAGGACACCGAUCGGUGGGUAGUUUGGGUGGGGCGCCACGCGCUCGAAAAGAUAUCAAGCGCGCCCAAAGGUCACCUCAAGGAGUUCAGAAAUCUCCUGUAGAAUGCAAGGGUAAAAGGUGGCUUUAUACGGAUUGGGCCAAUAACAAUCCGCAUUGCGAAAGCAGGGCCUAGCGAACCAAUGAACCUCAUUUAUGGGGGUCAUUGAUAACAGAAAAGUUACCCCGGGGAUAACUGAGUCGUCUCCAGCAAGAGCCCAUAUCGACCUGGAGGCUUGCUACUUCGAUGUCGUCUCUCCGCAUCCUGGCGGUGCAGCAGCUGCCAAGGGUGGGGUUGUUCGCCCAUUAAAGCGGAUCGUGAGAUGGGUUUAGACCGUCGUGAGACAGGUUUGUUGCUAACUUCUGGAAGCGUUGAUGUUUGAGGGGAAAGACCCUUUAGUACGAGAGGAACAAGGGUCUGCAGCCUCUAGUUUACCAGUUGUCCGACAGGGCAAUGCUGGGUAGCCACGCUGUAAGGGAUAAAUGCUGAAAGCAUCUAAGCAUGAAGCUCACCUCGAGACGAGACAUCAUAGAACUCGAAUAGAAGAUUCGUUUGAUAGAGCUCAGGUGUACGCAUGAAGCUUCGGCGACAUGUUCAGCCUAGAGCUACUAACCGUUCAUUACUGGCUC